RNAcentral lists this ribosomal RNA (450 nucleotides) under uncultured prokaryote. Its description in RNAcentral is "bacterial SSU rRNA". It matches the Rfam family "Bacterial small subunit ribosomal RNA", at positions 355 to 796 of the family's 1533-position model. The record is from RNAcentral.
UCGAGAAUCAUUCGCAAUGGGGGAAACCCUGACGGUGCGACGCCGCGUGGAGGAUGAAGGCCUUAGGGUCGUAAACUCCUGUCACCAUAGAACAAGAUUCAUAGGUUAAUACCCUGGUGGAUUUGAUGGUAUAUGGAGAGGAAGGUCCGGCUAACUCUGUGCCAGCAGCCGCGGUAAUACAGAGGGACCAAGCGUUGUUCGGAUUUACUGGGCGUAAAGCGUGCGUAGGAGGCUGGGAAAGUCUGAUGUGAAAUGUCACCGCUCAACGGUGAAAGUGCAUUGGAAACUAUCCGGCUAGAGGAUCGGAGAGGAAAGCGGAAUUCCAGGUGUAGCGGUGAAAUGCGUAGAUAUCUGGAGGAACACCAACGGCGAAGGCAGCUUUCUGGACGACUCCUGACUCUGAGGCACGAAGGCCAGGGGAGCGAACGGGAUUAGAUACCCCCGUAGUCC